This is a non-coding RNA of Cyprinodon tularosa, 508 nucleotides long. Lineage: Eukaryota; Metazoa; Chordata; Actinopteri; Cyprinodontiformes; Cyprinodontidae. The record is from the annotation of a RefSeq genome assembly.
GCAAAUCAGAAGAGUCACGUUUUAAAGACUUGAUCUGAUGCUUUCAGCUGCAGAUGGAGAAAAACUCCCAUCAGAUCACAUGAUCAUCAUGUUCUCUGUUGCUCUGCUGCUGAUGGCUGCUGGAUGCUAUGUGAGCAGUGAAACUCUGACUCAGCCAGCCUCUGAGGCUCUGCAGCCAAGUCAACGUCUGACCAUCAGAUGUCAGGUCUCUUAUUCUUUCUAUAACUACUAUGGAGCUUGGAUCAGACAUCCUGCAGGCAAAGGAGUGGAGUGGAUUGGGAUGAAAUCAAAUUGGUUCACAUUCUACCAAGAUUCACUGAAGAACAAGUUUAGUAUUGAUGUAGACGCUUCCAGUAGCACAGUGACUCUGAAUGGACAGCAUAUGCAGCCUGAAGACUCUGCUGUUUAUUACUGUGCAAGAUUCGACAACUACAGUGACACAAACGAGCAGCAAAGCUGUACAAAAAUGAAACAAAAUGUAGACAAAGGUUACGUUUUCUUAUAUUAA